CCCCACUCAUGCUGAAUUUCUGGUUCCGUCCCUGAGAGGAACAUUGAAAAUUAAGCAGGACCGUUGAUCCACAACUCAAAACUUUAUGAGUAGUACAAAAAUAAUCAUUUAACAGUUUAGUUCUCACAUUUCCAGUGUCCAAUGACUAUAAAUUUUUAAGUUCUCACCAUCUUUCGGUAUCCGACGACUAUAAUUUUUUUUUUAAGAAUUGACCUCCUAAAUUUUUUUUGACCGAAAACAGUAAGAGAGGCUCAUACUGUGGUAUAUUAAUAAUAGAAGCCACUGAAUAUUAAUGUGCUGCCAGGAUCUGGUACUGAAAGAGCAAUGUAGAAAGAGAUGUUCCAAAGUUUCAUCAGCACCAGAAGAACAUAGCACACAACCAAACUUGAAUCAAUGUUAUAAUGUCAAUGAGAAAGCAUGUUUCUGGUGUUUAGCUUGUCACUGAGAAGCAACCACAUAAAGACUUUAAUCUUGAGGGUAAGCAUGGAUGUCCA
RNAcentral lists this long non-coding RNA (494 nucleotides) under Brachypodium distachyon (stiff brome). RNAcentral's name for it is "long non-coding RNA (BDIS_LNC005732)". Lineage: Eukaryota; Viridiplantae; Streptophyta; Magnoliopsida; Poales; Poaceae. The record is from RNAcentral.